This 253-nucleotide ribosomal RNA is filed under the name uncultured bacterium. RNAcentral describes it as "partial 16S ribosomal RNA". It matches the Rfam family "Bacterial small subunit ribosomal RNA", at positions 524 to 776 of the family's 1533-position model. The record is from RNAcentral.
UACGGAGGGUGCAAGCGUUGUUCGGAAUUACUGGGCGUAAAGCGCGCGUAGGCGGUUUUACAAGUCAGAUGUGAAAGCCCAUGGCUCAACCAUGGACGUGCAUUUGAAACUGUGAGACUUGAGUAUUGGAGGGGGUGGUGGAAUUCCCGGUGUAGAGGUGAAAUUCGUAGAUAUCGGGGGGAAUACCAGUGGCGAAGGCGACCACCUGGCCAAAUACUGACGCUCAUGUGCGAAAGCGUGGGGAGCAAACAGG